This is a non-coding RNA of Xyrichtys novacula (pearly razorfish), 761 nucleotides long. The record is from the annotation of a GenBank genome assembly. Lineage: Eukaryota; Metazoa; Chordata; Actinopteri; Labriformes; Labridae.
UGAAGUGUUAGUUGUGUUUAUUGAUUCCAGUGUUGAUUAGUACAGUUACAUUCCAGUACAGACAGGAGUAACUACAGCUAUCUCUCUACUGUAACUAGAAGGGUGCGAAUAACAGCUUCAUCACAGACCACAUGGAUGUUUAACGUAAACCUGUUUUACAGAACAUUCAAGAACUCAUUUGGCAAACAGCAGCAGUGAAACAGACUGUAAUAAUAGAGUACAAAGAAAAUAUCUAUUUAUGAGAAGCAGCCAUUGCUUUGUCUCUUCAAAGCCACCAGACCACCUUAAAAAAAGAGAAACACUGAUUUUACCUCAUAAAGCUCAGGAGGUGCUGAUCUACUGUGUCCCGAUUUUAUUCAUACUGCUCUGUGAGACACAAACGGUGUGUUUGUGGGUUUGAAAAGAGGGAUCUAACAGCAGUCACCUACCACACACAUAAAAUACUGAUAAUCAAAAUAUAUAUGAGACAGUCAGCAGCAAAAACAUCAACUUAUAGUGGACACAGCCUUUACAGACUGUUUCACUGCUGCAGGCUGAAGAAAUCUACAGAAGACAUGUAGAACUAAAACUAUUUUCCAGAAUGGGCCCAGGUUCAAGACCACUAUACCAGACUAACACUGUCAAAGCAAAAGAAGUGGUGCUCUGUGAUCAGUCUAGCUUAAAUGAAUGUGUCUGAGCAGAAACAGUCUGUCCUUUAAACAAACUUCUCUCCUUUACUUUCUGGAUCCUAAGACUUCAAAUAUUCAGUUUCGAACUCGCUC